CCUGCCCUUCACCUGAGACAGGACCCCACGCCUGCCCUUCACCUGAGACAGGACCCCACGCUCCUCGUACAGGAGAGAGAACUGAGUGAGAGGGUGCGAAGAGGAUGUGUAUCAGUGUCCAGUCGGCUGAAGUUGUCUGCUGCCAAUAUGUGAUGUGUGGAUCUCCACUUGGUCUGGAGUGAAAGCUUAAUAAUCAACCCAGGACCUCCGACAACCCAGACCAUGUCGGUCCCCCAGACGGCAGUCCCCUGAUUGGAGCAGCGAGGCUGGGGAAGCUUUGCCUCAUUAGGCUGCUCCUGGAGGGGGGUGCCCAGGUCAACAAGAGAAACCCAGGAGGAGAGACUCCUCUCCUGGCCGUGUGUAAAGCCCUGAGAGGGGAACCCACUGGACCUGGAACUCUGAAACUGCUCAGAUACCUACUAGACAACCAGGCAGACCCUAAUACCCAGGACCGGUCAGGCCGUACAGCUCUGAUGUAUUCCUGUAUGGAGAGGGCUGGAGCUCAGCUAGCCUCUACUCUCCUCUCAGCUGGAGCUGACCCCAGUAUGGAGGACUACUCUGGAGCUUCAGCUAUGGUCAACGCUAUCAACGCACAGCACCAGCCUACACUACAGGUGCUACAGGACGCAUGUCGCGCCAAAGACCGCGUCAUCAUCAUCGUCGUCAUAAUCAUCAUCAUCCAUCAUCAUCACUACGGAGAUGGGUGUGAGCGGAUGACCGGUGACGAGGCGCUACCUGAACGUUCUGCCGUCUCCCGAUGCAUCACCUGUCACCUGCAUGUCACCCUCUGACAUCAUCAUCAAGACGGGUUCACCCAACUCACUUGAGGGAGAGAAUGUGUUCAAUUUCAGAGGAUCAGGUUGGAGGGUGGGGGGAAGGUGUUAAACAUCUCAGGAACCUGUCUCAUCCUUUCUUAUCUCAUCCCAGGUAAGAGGGGGAGUGGCAGCAGCAGCAGAUUCUCCCCAUGUGAGCUGAGUCCAGUGGACCAGUCCUGUAUCCCCCCUCCCAGACAGCGACAGUGGUCUGAACCAUGGCUAGCUAUUCACAAUCUGUCUUGACUUAACAAGGUCUACCAAGAGGGAAGGAGGGAAAGGAAGGUAGAGGAAGGAGGAAAGGGAGAAAAAGGUUCUCUUCAUCAUGAAGGAGGUGGGAGAUGAUAAAGAGAGUCGAUCUGUCCAUCUCUACCAUAAGGAGAUCUCUUCCGGGGCCUCUUGUUCUCUCGUCUUUCCCACAGAGGAGCACCUUUCCCAGGCAGCCCAGAGCAGACUGUCCCCUGAGAGGAGGCUAGGCCCUGGAGGUUCCACCUUGGAUUUAUACAGAGAACACCCCAGUACUCAAACUGCUUUACAUUAUAGAGGGGGAUCUAAUCUCAUCGGAUGCGACCCAAUGACCCGGAAGUGCUCCGUGGACAGACUUCCUCCCUGCUCUUCCUCGUAGGAACACCCUCCCAUCCUUGACUCCAGCUCCACCCCUUUUUCAUCUGCCUCCCCUAUCAUGUUAUGAGUCUCACCCUCAGGUCCCGCCCCUUGGCCUACCUGGUGUAGGUAUGGGGUUUCGGACGCAGCUGCCCUCCCCCUCUUUCUCCCCCCCCCCCAUUUCUCUUCUCUUUAAAGCAAUAUUUAGACCAGGCUUUCUGCCUCCUCUACCUCUUCCAUUCCUGCUCUCCUUCUCUCAUCCUCUUCUGUUCCCCCUUUCCCUCCCUCCAGUGAGAGGUCACCUCGACGUCACUCUAUUCAGCUGGAGCCGCUGAGAGGAGAGGAGGAGGAAUAGAAGAAGAACAGAGGAGACGAGGGAGAGGAGGAAAGGAGGAGCGGGAGUGAGACCCUAUGUUAGCUGUUAUGGUUUGAUAUGUGUAGUUACUUGUAAUAACCUCUAGAGCAUGCUGGACACUUAUUUAGUGCGUGCUGACCUGAAUGUGUGGAUUCAUAUCAACAGUCUAAAACCGUAAUCUCCAAUCCAAAUAAUUAGUUGGAAUCAUUUGUUUAUUAGAU
Long non-coding RNA from Oncorhynchus gorbuscha (pink salmon), 1991 nucleotides. RefSeq lists it as uncharacterized. The transcript is spliced from 4 exons. The record is from RefSeq and is a predicted model, not a curated record. NCBI's taxonomy places the organism in Eukaryota, Metazoa, Chordata, Actinopteri, Salmoniformes, Salmonidae.